GCCUGGUGUGGUGGAGUGUGCCUGUAUUCCCAGCUACUUGGGAGGCUGAGGCGGGAGGAUCACUUGAGCCCAGGAGGUCUGGGCUGUAGUGUGCUCUGCCAAUCAGUUGUCUGCACUAAGUUUAGCAUCAACUUCCUGGGAGUGAGGGACCAUUUCAGGUUGGAGACUGAGCAGGUCAAAACUCCUGUGCUGAUGAGUAGUGGCAUUGCGCCUGUGAAUAGCCACUGCACUUCAGCCUGGGCAACAUAGUGAGACCCUGUCUCA
Molecule: unclassified non-coding RNA, 264 nt
Organism: Rhinopithecus bieti (black snub-nosed monkey)
Lineage: Eukaryota; Metazoa; Chordata; Mammalia; Primates; Cercopithecidae
Rfam family: Metazoan signal recognition particle RNA
About the family: The signal recognition particle (SRP) is a universally conserved ribonucleoprotein. It is involved in the co-translational targeting of proteins to membranes.
Source: Ensembl